GAGCGAAGACGGAAUUUCACCAUAUUGGCCGGGCUGGUCUCGGACUCCUGACCUAGCGAUUCCCCCCACCCCUCCCCCUCCCCCGCCUCGGCCUCCCAAAACGUGCCGGGAGUACGGGUGUCGGCCACCGCGCCCGGCCGAUUCCUUCUUGUUUUCAAUCUUCUUUUCUGCACGCUGCUGUGUGUGAGCAUACGUAUAUCUAUCUAGAUAGAUAGAUACGUAGAUAUGGACACACGGACACGUACCUACACCGACGAAAAUAUCUAGUGAUAAAACUAGACAUUUCCAUCAUUCAUACAUGUGUAUAGGAUAGAUGUUAAUUUUAAUGGAUGAACGUGUAUGACGUAAAAACCCAUGUCAUUUACAUAGACCUGUAUAUGUAUAUCCUUCGUUUAUUAUGGAUUAACAAUGUUCGUGUAUUUAUUUUCUUUUCUUUUGGGGCCUGCCUGAUCUUCUCACUCUGGGCUCUGGUGACCUCAGGCUCCCAAGUAGCUGGGAUGGGACUACAGGGAUCUCUUAAGCCCGGGAGGCAGAGGCGAACGUGGGCUGUGAUCGCGCGCCUCCACUCCACCUGGGCUGGGCUGGGCUGGAGAGAAAACGGUGGAUUGUCAUCUUCAUUACCUUACCUUUUAGCUUUAUUCGUACCCUCUUAUUUGCUUCUUUAUUCUCAUGGGUUAUUCUAGGUCGUUGUCAUGUUCAUCGUUUGCUUGCUUGUUUCAUUGGUUUCCUGCCUUCCCUGCCUUCCCGGCGGGGUCUUCCUCUGCCUCUGUCGCCCGGGAUCACCCCAGCCUCGACGAUUUCGACCGAGCGGCCGUCCCGCGUCUCAUCCCUCCCGUCCCCGUUCCCUGGGACUACGGGUGUGCACCACCACACCGGGUGUCGUCUCACACGUCGAGGUGAUCUCAAACGUCUACGCUCCGGCCAUCCUUCCACGUCGGCCUCCCGGAGUGCUGGGAUGACACGCGUGGGCACGACGGAGUUUCACUCUUGUCGCCCAGGGUGGACUACGAUGGCGUGAUCUCGGCUCGCUGCGACCUCCGCCCCCUCCCCCUCCCCCUCCCCCUCCCCCUCCCCCUCCCCCUCCCCCUCCCCCUCCAGACGGAGUUUCACUCUUGUCGCCCAGGGUGGACUACGAUGGCGUGAUCUCGGCUCGCUGCGACCUCCGCCUCCCGGGUUCGAGUGAUCCUCCUGCCUUGGCCUUCCCGAGGAGCUGGAAUGACGGGGAAGCGCCAUCGUGCCCGGCUGACUUUUAUAUUUUUAGUACAGAUGGGGUUUCUCCGUCUUGGUCAGCCUGGUCUUGAGCUUCCGACCGUUGGACGAUUUUAACUUUCUUGGUGGUUGCUUUUCUUUUUCUUUUUUUCUUUUCUUUUCUUUCCUUCUCCUCCCCCCACCCACUCCCCCUGUCCUCCUCGUCCUCCUCGUCCUCGUCCUCCUCCUCCUCCUCCUUUUUCAUCUCUUUCAGCUGGGCUCUCCUACUUGUGUUGCUCAGUUGCUCACGCUGGUCUCCAACUCCUGCCCUUGACGCUUCUCCCCUCACACCCACCGUCUGGUUGUUGAGAUGCGCACCUCUUGUAAAAUGGAAAAGAUGAAAAAAAUAAAAGACGGAGGUGAAAA
This is a long non-coding RNA of Pongo pygmaeus (Bornean orangutan), 1614 nucleotides long. RefSeq lists it as uncharacterized. The transcript is spliced from 3 exons. The record is from RefSeq and is a predicted model, not a curated record. NCBI's taxonomy places the organism in Eukaryota, Metazoa, Chordata, Mammalia, Primates, Hominidae.